Molecule: ribosomal RNA, 443 nt
Filed under: Nucleospora salmonis
Lineage: Eukaryota; Fungi; Microsporidia; Enterocytozoonidae
Description: SSU rRNA
Rfam family: Microsporidia small subunit ribosomal RNA
Source: RNAcentral
CCCAGACGGGGGAACGGCGAACGGCUCAGUAAUGUUGCGGUGAUCUGCUCUGGUUGAGAAAGAUAACCACGGUAAACUGUGGCUAAGAGACCAGAAUGAGCUGCAACCCUAUCAGUUUGUUGGAAGUGUAAAAGACUCCCAAGACGUCGACGGGUAACGGGAAAUCAGUGUUUGAUUCCGGAGAGGGAGCCUGAGAGAUGGCUCCCACGUCCAAGGAUGGCAGCAGGCGCGAAAAUUGUCCACUCUUUGGAGAGGAGACAGUUAUGAGGCGUGAUUAAAAGAGCGAAGUGUAAACACCUUCGUGUAACGCAAUUGGAGGGCAAGUUUUGGUGCCAGCAGCCGCGGUAAUUCCAACUCCAAGAGUGCCCAUGGUGGAUGCUGCAGUUAAAAAGUCCGUAGUCGUAGAUGCAAUUAAAGGGUGCGGAUCAAGCGCACUGAGUUUG